This 885-nucleotide ribosomal RNA is filed under the name uncultured bacterium. Its description in RNAcentral is "bacterial SSU rRNA". It matches the Rfam family "Bacterial small subunit ribosomal RNA", at positions 8 to 916 of the family's 1533-position model. The record is from RNAcentral.
AGAGUUUGAUCAUGGCUCAGGAUGAACGCUGGCGGCGUGCCUAACACAUGCAAGUCGAACGAAGAGGCCCCUUCGGGGGUACUUCAGUGGCGGACGGGUGAGUAACACGUAGGCGACCUGCCCCGAAGCAGGGGAUAACGGCCCGAAAGGGCCGCUAAUACCCAAAAGGGUCACGAGUCACAUCGUGAUCAGAGUUACGGCGUUUCGGGAGGGGCCUGCGGCCCAUCAGCUAGUUGGUAGGGUAACGGCCUACCAAGGCAACGACGGGUAGGGGGCCUGAGAGGGUGAUCCCCCACAUUGGCACUGACACACGGGCCAAACUCCUACGGGAGGCAGCAGUGAGGAAUAUUGCACAAUGAGCGAAAGCUAGAUGCAGCAACGCCGCGUGGACGAUGAAGGCCUUCGGGUCGUAAAGUCCUUUUCAGGGGGACGAGUGAGGACGGUACCUCUGGAAUAAGUCACGGCUAACUACGUGCCAGCAGCCGCGGUAAAACGUAGGUGGCGAGCGUUAUCCGGAUUCACUGGGCGUAAAGCGCCUGCAGGCGGUCUCGUAAGUGGGAUGUGAAAUCUCUUGGCUCAACUGGGAGGGGCCAUUCCAUACUGCGGGACUUGAGGGCAGAAGAGGGAAGCGGAAUUCCCGGUGUAGUGGUGAAAUGCGUAGAUAUCGGGAGGAACACCAGUGGCGAAGGCGGCUUCCUGGCCUGCUCCUGACGCUAAGAGGCGAAAGCUAGGGGAGCGAACGGGAUUAGAAACCCCGGUAGUCCUAGCCGUAAACGAUGGAUACUGGGUGUCGGCGGUCCUAACCCCGUCGGUGCCGAAGCAAACGCGUUAAGUAUCCCGCCUGGGGACUACGACCGCAAGGUUAAAACUCAAAUGAAUUGACGG